Nannospalax galili (Upper Galilee mountains blind mole rat) is the source of this 106-nucleotide small nuclear RNA. The record is from Ensembl. NCBI's taxonomy places the organism in Eukaryota, Metazoa, Chordata, Mammalia, Rodentia, Spalacidae.
GUGCUCACUUUGGCAGCACAUAUACUAAAAUUGAAAUGACACAGAGAAGAUGAGCAUGGCUCCUGUGCAAUAUUAACACACAAUUCUUGAAGCAUUCCAUAUUUUU